UGUGGAGGCUUCGGCAGUGGCAUUCAGCGUGGGGUCGCAGUCAUGGUAGGGGCCAAGGCUGAGGCCGCGGAGCUCGUGGAGGCAAGGCCGAGGACAAGGAGUCACCAAGUUGGGCUGCCUGGUCAAGGACAUGAAGAUCAGAUCCCUGGAGGAGAUCUCUCUCUUUUCCCUGCCCGUCAAGGAGUCUGAAAUCAUUGACUUUUUCCUGGGGGCAUCUCUCAAGGAUUAGCUUUUGAAGAUUAUGCCGGUGCAAAAGCAGACCUGCGCUGGCCAGAGGACCAGGUUCAGGGCGUUUGUUGCCAUCGUGGACUACAAUGGCCAUGUUGACUGGGGUGUUGAGUGCUCCAAGGAGGUAGCCACUGCCAUCUGAGGGGCCAUGGUCCUGGCCAAGCUCUCCAUCGUCCCUGUGAGGAAAGGCUAUGAGGGGAACAAGAUUGGCAAGCCCCACACCGUUCCUUGCAAAGUGACAGGCCACUGUGGCUCUGUGUUGGUAUGUCUCAUCCCUGCCCCUAGAGGAACUGGCAUCGUCUCAGCCCCUGGGCCCAAGAAGCUGCCGCUGAUGGCUGGUAUCGAUGACUGCUACAUCUCAGCCAGGGGCUGCACUGCCACCCUGGGCAACUUCUCUAAGGCCACUUUUGAUGCCAUCUCUAAGACCUACAGCUAUCUGACUCCUGACCUCUGGAAAGAGACAGUAUUCACCAAGUCUCCCUACCAGGAAUUCACUGACUAUCUUGUCAAGACCCAUACCAGAGUCUCUGUGCAGAGGACCCAGGCUCUAGCUGUGGCUACAACAUGGCAUUUUUAUACAAGAGAACAAAGUGAAUUUAGCCUGUUAAAAAAAACCUGCCUGUUAAUGAGUUGA
Molecule: RNA transcript, 862 nt
Organism: Propithecus coquereli (Coquerel's sifaka)
Lineage: Eukaryota; Metazoa; Chordata; Mammalia; Primates; Indriidae
Gene name: 40S ribosomal protein S2 pseudogene
Exons: 2
Source: RefSeq, a predicted model, not a curated record